CGUAGGAGCAAGCGUUAUCCGGAUUUAUUGGGUGUAAAGGGUGCGUAGACGGGAAAUUAAGUUAGUUGUGAAAUCCCUCGGCUUAACUGAGGAACUGCAACUAAAACUGAUUUUCUUGAGUGCUGGAGAGGAAAGUGGAAUUCCUAGUGUAGCGGUGAAAUGCGUAGAUAUUAGGAGGAACACCAGUGGCGAAGGCGACUUUCUGGACAGUAACUGACGUUGAGGCACGAAAGUGUGGGAGCAAACAGGAUU
RNAcentral lists this ribosomal RNA (252 nucleotides) under uncultured bacterium. RNAcentral's name for it is "partial 16S ribosomal RNA". It matches the Rfam family "Bacterial small subunit ribosomal RNA", at positions 526 to 779 of the family's 1533-position model. The record is from RNAcentral.